Molecule: long non-coding RNA, 1240 nt
Filed under: Capsicum annuum
Lineage: Eukaryota; Viridiplantae; Streptophyta; Magnoliopsida; Solanales; Solanaceae
Description: long non-coding RNA (CANN_LNC006598)
Source: RNAcentral
ACACCCUAUGUCGGAUGAAUUCCAAACAUAUAACAAGAUAAAACAACAAUAGUCUAAAGACAAUAAAGUAAGCUCAAAACCAAAGUCAAAAACCACAAACAAUCAACCAUCCAUUUCCAAUCCCAAUACCAAUACCAAUGCUAAUCCUAAUAUCGACACCGCCCAUGACCAUAUUAGUUCGAUAAAGCCUCUAACCAAAAUAAAAGAAUAUUCGAUCGGGACAUGCCUCCGACCAUAGUAAAAACAAAACCAAAGAAAUAAUAAUAAUGAAAAGAAGUUCAUAUCAUGAAAUGGAGUGUUUCGAAGUAUGAAAGAUCACCGCUUCAGUCUGACUCAAAACUUUCCCCGAAUCCAAGUCAUUGAGCAGGAAGAAUGAUAGUAUGGUCGGUUCCUCCAUCGCGUGGGUAUACAGUGUCUGAAAAUGAUUAGCGGAGUGAACUCUAGCAUGUAACUCAGGGAUAAAGAUAAGAUAAUUCCAUCAUUUCAAAACUAGAUUAAUAACCAUAUGCAAUCACAUAUGUGUAUAUAUAUAUACAUAUGGGAUAUGGAACAAGGUUUAGCAUGUAUUUAAAUCCUUAACCUUGGUUGUGUAGUUUGACUGUCCUAAAACCACCCACGAGCUAUAUGGGUUCAUCUCUCCCUACUGAAAGGGCCCUAGUGCGUGUUAGAUGCACGACUGGAGAAAAAACCCUAAGAUGACUAGUACAUACAAAAAGUAUUAAGUGUUACAUUAUGCACACGGUCACCAAGACCACCCUCACAUCGGCAAAUGUGAGUUUCUAGUGUCGGUCCUCCAGGGACCCCCACCUUCUACGACUUUGCUACUCAUCCCCCUUUAAGACUAUAUUAAAUUACACAUUCCCAACCAUUUACCAAGAAUUUUUUUUAAUUAGGAAUUAACCAUUGGUAUCGUCAUACCAAAAUUAGAGCUUGCAAGUCUAUUACUUUAUGCCAUAUAAACCAUUAAACCAAAUAAGACUCCACCAUUUCCAAUUAACCAAAACCAUUUAAAAUCAAACCAUGACCACCAAGUCUUUUCCAAAAUAAUAUGAAACCAACCAAAACCAAUUCAUGUUUCUAUAACCAUUUAUGCAAUGCAAAGUUUCCAAGAAUAGUCAAACUUUUUGACAAAAUUAUUCUCAUUGACAAUUUCACAAAUAGGCUAAGGGCAUGCCAUUAUCAAAGCCAAAAUUAUCAAAUUUGGGGAUCAACCAUAACCCCUUAAUUAAAUCACCAUUCC